Molecule: ribosomal RNA, 115 nt
Filed under: Salvia splendens (bonfire salvia)
Lineage: Eukaryota; Viridiplantae; Streptophyta; Magnoliopsida; Lamiales; Lamiaceae
Source: RNAcentral
GUGAUCGUACCAGCACUAAUGCACCGAAUCCCAUCAGAACUCCGAAGUUAAGCCUGUUUGGGCGAGAGUAGUACUAGGAUAGAUGACCCACUGGGCAGUCCUCGUGUUACACCUC